This 253-nucleotide ribosomal RNA is filed under the name uncultured bacterium. RNAcentral's name for it is "partial 16S ribosomal RNA". It matches the Rfam family "Bacterial small subunit ribosomal RNA", at positions 524 to 776 of the family's 1533-position model. The record is from RNAcentral.
UACGUAUGGUGCGAGCGUUAAUCGGAAUUACUGGGCGUAAAGCGUGCGCAGGCGGCUUUGCAAGACAGAUGUGAAAUCCCCGGGCUCAACCUGGGAACUGCAUUUGUGACUGCAAGGCUAGAGUACGGCAGAGGGGGAUGGAAUUCCGCGUGUAGCAGUGAAAUGCGUAGAUAUGCGGAGGAACACCAAUGGCGAAGGCAAUCCCCUGGGCCUGUACUGACGCUCAUGCACGAAAGCGUGGGGAGCAAACAGG